GGUGACAUGGUCUAGUGGUAUGGCAUCUGCUUAGGGUGCAGAAGGUCCCGGGUUCGAUCCCCGGUGUUGCCC
Hamiltosporidium tvaerminnensis is the source of this 72-nucleotide non-coding RNA. The record is from the annotation of a GenBank genome assembly. Lineage: Eukaryota; Fungi; Microsporidia; Dubosqiidae.